This 1038-nucleotide long non-coding RNA is filed under the name Anser cygnoides (Swan goose). RNAcentral's name for it is "lncRNA (ENSACDG00005001613.1)". The record is from RNAcentral. Lineage: Eukaryota; Metazoa; Chordata; Aves; Anseriformes; Anatidae.
CUAUUGGAUACCACAACAGAACAUGUUCCCAUUCCCCUUGCAGUAUCAAACCCGGGGGAACCAGCAUCCCUAAAGCCACCAGCAGAGUUUGAAACAGGGGCCCAACAGUAUGGCUGCAGGGGCCUUGCACUCCUGCCCCAUGCCCACGUGCUUGGGCAUCGCACCCGCUCGCCAGGGGCUGCCUCUGAGCCCCGCCACAGCCAGCAGCUCUCUGCACCUUCAGCGCGCUGCGCUGCUUUGAAGCAAAACCAAGGUAAUUUCUGCCAGACAAAACGCUUUCUCUCUCUCUCUCUUUUUUUUUUUUUUAUUUUUUUUCCUAGAACCCGAUUUAUUUUUUGCCUCUUUGAGAGGUCCUUGCUCUGGGGAAUCCCUCGCAGACCUGUGCGCACCAGGAGUUCACCGCCUGCUGGGAAAGAAAAAAAAAAAAAUAUAUAUAUAUAUAUAUAUAUAUGUAUAUAUAUAUGGCAGGACACACUCAUUUGUUGCAAUUUGGCUGAUUUUCCUCAAACAACCUCAAACCCGGGCGGCGGGAGCCCUGCCCGCUGCGGGCUGCGCGCACGGCGGGGACCCAGCGCCACCGUCUGGGGACGCGUCCGGAGCCGCCCCGGCCCCGGCAGCCCCCCCCCNNNNNNNNNNNNNNNNNNNNNNNNNCCCCCCCCCGGCUGCCGCUUCCCUUCUCCAGCAUCCCUCCUCUCCCCGUUUCGGGGCACUUUUGGCAGGGCGCAAGGCACCCCGUCGCGUUGCCUGUGCCCCACCGCUGGGAGAGCACUGACCCGGUUGCUCCGCAUUCGCUGCGCGGAGCUGCCAGGUGCGCCGCGGUGGCCCGGGGACAGAUGCAGGGGUCUUGAGGACAAUCAUGCAUUUAAUCGCAGCCACGCUGUCCCUGCAGCCUGGUCCUGUCAGCACCAGUGUACCUCCGCGGUCAGUGAGCCUGGGUGCUGGCCAUCGCUCUUGGCACGGACGUCGCUUCCACGUGGGCAAUGCUGGCGGUGUCCAGGUGCACCCCAGCCUUGGCAGCAGGACACUGGCAACCUGUAA